AGAGUUUGAUCCUGGCUCAGGAUGAACGCUAGCGGCAGGCCUAACACAUGCAAGUCGAACGGUAACAGGAAAAAGCUUGCUUUUUUGCUGACGAGUGGCGCACGGGUGCGUAACGCGUAUACAAUCUACCUUUUACAGUGGGAUAGCCUUUAGAAAUGAAGAUUAAUACCGCAUAGUAUGUUUAGAUGGCAUCAUUUAGACAUUAAAGAUUUAUCGGUAAAAGAUGAGUAUGCGUUCUAUUAGCUAGAUGGUAAGGUAACGGCUUACCAUGGCAACGAUAGAUAGGGGCCCUGAGAGGGGGAUCCCCCACACUGGUACUGAGACACGGACCAGACUCCUACGGGAGGCAGCAGUGAGGAAUAUUGGACAAUGGGCGCAAGCCUGAUCCAGCCAUGCCGCGUGCAGGAAGACUGCCCUAUGGGUUGUAAACUGCUUUUAUACAGGAAGAAACACUCCCUCGUGAGGGAGCUUGACGGUACUGUAAGAAUAAGAUCGCUAACU
This 501-nucleotide ribosomal RNA is filed under the name uncultured bacterium. RNAcentral describes it as "bacterial SSU rRNA". It matches the Rfam family "Bacterial small subunit ribosomal RNA", at positions 8 to 502 of the family's 1533-position model. The record is from RNAcentral.